AAAACUCGAAGCUGCUAGGGUUAAAAACUCUUAACCCUAAUCACCCCGUUUCUUUCCUUUUAUAUGAGAGUAACCCUUUAUUGUCAUCCAACGGUCCAUUUCUUGCCACUUGUCUUGAAUCUGGAAGAGUUGUUAUUUCAUAACAAAAAAUGCAUUUCUGUUUUGCACUUAUAACAACCCGGCCCUAGUUCUAGAAGUUUCUUCACAAUGGAUCAUCAAUUGCCCACCAAGUUUGGGCCAC
RNAcentral lists this long non-coding RNA (241 nucleotides) under Olea europaea (common olive). RNAcentral's name for it is "long non-coding RNA (OEUR_LNC003763)". Lineage: Eukaryota; Viridiplantae; Streptophyta; Magnoliopsida; Lamiales; Oleaceae. The record is from RNAcentral.